Molecule: ribosomal RNA, 253 nt
Filed under: uncultured bacterium
Lineage: Bacteria
Description: partial 16S ribosomal RNA
Rfam family: Bacterial small subunit ribosomal RNA
Source: RNAcentral
UACAGGGGGUGCAAACGUUGCUCGGAAUUAUUGGGCGUAAAGCGCGCGUAGGCGGCUACUUAAGUCGGAUGUGAAAGCCCCUGGCUCAACUGGGGAAGUGCACCCGAAACUGAGCAGCUAGAGUACGAAAGAGGGUCGCGGAAUUCCCGGUGUAGAGGUGAAAUUCGUAGAUAUCGGGAGGAACACCGGUGGCGAAGGCGGCGACCUGGGUCGAUACUGACACUGAGGAGCGAAAGCCAGGGGAGCAAACGGG